RNAcentral lists this ribosomal RNA (500 nucleotides) under uncultured bacterium. RNAcentral's name for it is "bacterial SSU rRNA". It matches the Rfam family "Bacterial small subunit ribosomal RNA", at positions 102 to 590 of the family's 1533-position model. The record is from RNAcentral.
ACGGGUGAGUAAUACAUAAGUAACCUGGCAUCUACAGGGGGAUAACUGAUGGAAACGUCAGCUAAGACCGCAUAGGUGUAGAGAUCGCAUGAACUCUAUAUGAAAAGUGCUACGGGACUGGUAGAUGAUGGACUUAUGGCGCAUUAGCUUGUUGGUAGGGUAACGGCCUACCAAGGCGACGAUGCGUAGCCGACCUGAGAGGGUGACCGGCCACACUGGGACUGAGACACGGCCCAGACUCCUACGGGAGGCAGCAGUAGGGAAUUUUCGGCAAUGGGGGAAACCCUGACCGAGCAACGCCGCGUGAAGGAAGAAGUAAUUCGUUAUGUAAACUUCUGUCAUAGAGGAAGAACGGUGGAUAUAGGGAAUGAUAUCCAAGUGACGGUACUCUAUAAGAAAGCCACGGCUAACUACGUGCCAGCAGCCGCGGUAAUACGUAGGUGGCGAGCGUUAUCCGGAAUUAUUGGGCGUAAAGAGGGAGCAGGCGGCACUAAGGGUCU